Non-coding RNA from Oncorhynchus mykiss (rainbow trout), 579 nucleotides. The record is from RefSeq and is a predicted model, not a curated record. Lineage: Eukaryota; Metazoa; Chordata; Actinopteri; Salmoniformes; Salmonidae.
CCGAAUACUUUCGCAAGGCACUGUAGAUGAAGGACAAGUCUGACAAGGACUUGGAAGAUAGUCAUCAGAAGAAAGGGAUGGAGGAGAAGGAAGGAAGAAGAGCCAGUUGCUCAGCUGAAGGAAGAGAGAACGGCCAAAUGGAAAUCAAGUGCCAAGAAGACCUCAGCCGAACGUGACACUGAAGCAGGCUAGAGAUUUUUCGAUAUUAAAACUACUUUUCCCAGUAUAUGUACUUUAGGGUUAGUGUGCCCUUUGUUGUGCAGAUUCAUUAUAUAAAAAAAGGGGAAAACUCAUAAUAAUUGUUGUCCUUUUGGUCCCUCUGUGGUAUUCUCUUUGGAUAAAUACCAAAACAGGGCAGCAGUAAUUCAACUCUUACAGGAGGAACUUCUCAAUAGUCUACUUCACCCCUCAGGAAUGGCAGAGGACGUCUGAUUCUUUAUCCUCACCAAUUACAGGAGUAAUCUCACUGAUAGGUCCAGUGCAUUCGGAAAGUAUUAAAUUUUUUUUUUUAAAACCAAGCCAUGAGUUUGAAGGAAUUGUCCGUAGAGCUCCGAGACAGGAUUAUGUAGAGGCACAGAU